Molecule: ribosomal RNA, 469 nt
Filed under: uncultured bacterium
Lineage: Bacteria
Description: partial 16S ribosomal RNA
Rfam family: Bacterial small subunit ribosomal RNA
Source: RNAcentral
UGGCCAGACUCCUACGGGAGGCAGCAGUGAGGAAUAUUGGUCAAUGGGCGAGAGCCUGAACCAGCCAAGUCGCGUGAGGGACGACGGCCCUACGGGUUGUAAACCUCUUUUGCCGGGGGAUAAACGGCGGCACGCGUGCCGUCCUGAGGGUACCCGGAGAAAAAGCAUCGGCUAACUCCGUGCCAGCAGCCGCGGUAAUACGGAGGAUGCGAGCGUUAAUCGGAAUUACUGGGCGUAAAGCGCUCGUAGGCGGUAUGUCAAGUCAAGGGUGAAAUCCCCGCGCUCAACGUGGGAACUGCCUUUGAAACUGGCAAACUGGAGUGUGUGAGAGGAUAGUGGAAUUCCAGGUGUAGGAGUGAAAUCCGUAGAUAUCUGGAGGAACAUCAGUGGCGAAGGCGACUAUCUGGCACAUAACUGACGCUGAGGAGCGAAAGCGUGGGUAGCAAACAGGAUUAGAUACCCCCGUAAG